GGUGGCUCAGUGGUAGAGUGCUUGCCUCACAUGCAGGGGGCCCUGGGUUUGAUUCCUCAGCACCA
Molecule: transfer RNA, 65 nt
Filed under: Dipodomys ordii (Ord's kangaroo rat)
Lineage: Eukaryota; Metazoa; Chordata; Mammalia; Rodentia; Heteromyidae
Rfam family: tRNA
About the family: Transfer RNA (tRNA) molecules are approximately 80 nucleotides in length. Their secondary structure includes four short double-helical elements and three loops (D, anti-codon, and T loops).
Source: Rfam by way of RNAcentral